UAGGGAAUCUUCGGCAAUGAACGAAAGUCUGACCGAGCAACGCCGCGUGAGUGAAGAAGGUUUUCGGAUCGUAAAACUCUGUUGUUAGAGAAGAACAAGGACGUUAGUAACUGAACGUCCCCUGACUGUAUCUAACCAGAAAGCCACGGCUAACUACGUGCCAGCAGCCGCGGUAAUACGUAGGUGGCAAGCGUUGUCCGGAUUUAUUGGGCGUAAAGCGAGCGCAGGCGGUUUCUUAAGUCUGAUGUGAAAGCCCCCGGCUCAACCGGGGAGGGUCAUUGGAAACUGGGAGACUUGAGUGCAGAAGAGGAGAGUGGAAUUCCAUGUGUAGCGGUGAAAUGCGUAGAUAUAUGGAGGAACACCAGUGGCGAAGGCGGCUCUCUGGUCUGUAACUGACGCUGAGGCUCGAAAGCGUGGGGAGCAAACAGG
RNAcentral lists this ribosomal RNA (429 nucleotides) under Gemmatimonadota bacterium. RNAcentral's name for it is "Gemmatimonadetes bacterium partial 16S ribosomal RNA". It matches the Rfam family "Bacterial small subunit ribosomal RNA", at positions 355 to 776 of the family's 1533-position model. Lineage: Bacteria; Pseudomonadati; Gemmatimonadota. The record is from RNAcentral.